CGGUACAAACGGCGAGUGGUCGAGGUCUCAGCAGGUGAAAACAGGGCUCAUUAGCUAUCGACUCUUCGCUCGUGGCGGUCUGAGACACGAGAAAGCCGUCGCGCAUUUCGCAGAAUCGAGAGAAAACAACGACGAGACUCGUCUUUGUGCGUGUUUCACUUAAAACCGGGAAAAUACAAGGAAAAGGUAAAAGUCAAGUGAGAUUUGUCUGCUCGUCAGUGCGCUAGUUUUUUUCUUUCGUUUUCGUAUGUCGGAGGAUUGAUUUGCAAACCGUAUUGGGCCAAUGACAAUAAUCGGAGUCUGUUAAGGAUUGUUUUAAUAUUUUUAUUCAUCUUUUUUGAUUUAAUCGAGAACGUACUAUGACAUAUGUGACGAAAUAUGUGGCGUUCUUGAUAUGUCAAGCUAUCGCAUUUGGAAGCAGUGUAGAUGAAGCCCAUUUAUCGUCGAAAAUUAGCGUUGGAGAAGACUCAAUUGUGUUUCCCAGCGAAUCAUCGAACGGCUUGAGUGAUAACCAACCUGGAAUUAAAAGAAUAGCAUUAGAUGGAAGCCUUCCUUCACAAGGUAUAGCAGGACAGGCAAAUGACAACCCAGAGUUACGGAACUACCCUUUGAGGGACUUUCAAGUGGAUACUGCCGCCAAUGUGGAUCCUCAAUAUGGCGAACAAUACACGAUCGAGUACAAGUAUCACAAUUUCGACAAGAUGACCAGAUUCUUACGUCAAACCACUGCCAGAUUUCCGUCCUUGACUGCCUUAUAUUCUAUAGGAAAAUCAAUUAGAGGUAGAGACCUAUGGGUAAUGGUUGUAUCUGCAUCACCGUAUGAACAUAUGAUUGGAAAGCCAGAUGUUAAGUAUAUCGGAAACAUCCACGGUAACGAAGCUGUAAGUCGCGAACUACUUCUACAACUUAUACAUUAUUUAGUGACGAGCUACAAUACAGAUCCUUAUAUAAAAUGGCUACUGGACAAUACAAGAAUUCAUAUCAUGCCUUCCAUGAAUCCUGAUGGUUUUGAAGUAUCUAAAGAAGGACAAUGUGAUGGAGCCCAAGGAAGAUAUAAUUCUCAAGGAUACGACUUGAACAGAAAUUUCCCUGAUUAUUUCAAGCAGAACAAUAGAAGAACCCAACCUGAAACUGAAGCUGUGAAGGAAUGGGUGAAGAAAAUUCAGUUUGUCCUCUCUGGCAGUCUUCAUGGCGGUGCUUUGGUCGCCAGCUAUCCUUUUGAUAAUACACCUAAUUCGCGAGUCUGCGCAUCUUCAGCUUUAUGUGCCAUGUUCACAUCCUAUACCCACACACCAUCAUUAACACCUGAUGACGACGUUUUCAAACAUCUGGCUCUAACUUAUUCCACUAACCAUGCUAAAAUGAGCAGAGGAGUUUCAUGUAAAACAUCACAAACAUCCUUUAAACGUGGUAUAACAAACGGUGCUGAAUGGUAUCCUUUAACCGGAGGUAUGCAAGACUAUAACUACGUAUGGUAUGGUUGCAUGGAGGUCACUUUGGAAGUUUCUUGUUGUAAAUAUCCUCCAGCUUAUGAGUUACCAAAAUACUGGGAAGACAAUAAAGUAGCAUUGAUAAAAUAUUUGGCAGAAGCUCACAGGGGUGUACAUGGAUUUGUGAUGGAUGAAUAUGGCAAUCCUGUCGAAAUGGCAUCUUUGAAGAUCAAAACAAGAGAUGUCGGUUUCCAAACCACGAAAUUUGGAGAAUUCUGGAGAAUAUUAAUGCCGGGAAUAUACAAACUUGAGGUCUAUGGAGAUGGAUUUGUACCGCGAGAAGUGGAAUUUAUGGUCGUCGAUGAUCAUCCAACAUUAUUAAACGUUACUUUACUGGCUGCCAAGAGUUGGGAACACUUCGCACCUUUAGUUACCGAUCCCCCCAAACCAAUUCUGCAAUUAGACGGAGUACCACCCAAUAAAGAAGCUUUAAACUUUCCCAAAAACUAAUCACCUAGAAUAAAAUGACCCCUUUCACUUGCUCACGUUAUUUUUAUUUGUUAGACAGGACAGUCACUUCUACAGACAUCCGGCACAGACCAACUACAACAGAGGACAAUUUGCACAGGGACCCCAUCAACCGGUAGCCCAGGAAAGCGGCAUAUUCUCAACAAUAACAAACGGUC
RNAcentral lists this unclassified non-coding RNA (2116 nucleotides) under Sitophilus oryzae (rice weevil). RNAcentral's name for it is "carboxypeptidase M-like, transcript variant X2". The record is from RNAcentral. Lineage: Eukaryota; Metazoa; Arthropoda; Insecta; Coleoptera; Curculionidae.